CUUGAGUUGUAGCUACAGUUUUUAGCAACAUCAUUUUCAGAGUGCAGUAAGAAGAAACAAUCCCUGUAUGGAUUGACUCGUGAAUGGGUGUGUUUAAAUCCGGAGACUGGCGUAGUUAGUUGUCCCUUUUUAAUGUUGGUAAAAGAAAGGUUUACCGGGCUUCGGCACUUACCUUCACACGUGCCUGGACGCUGGGACCAUGUCUGAUCCUCCAUACAUUCUAUGAUAGCGUUACCCACCAAAUGGUAUCCGGUAAUGCAUCUGUACUCCAGUUUCUUUCCCACAAGGUACACAUCCUUAGGAUCC
Gadus macrocephalus (Pacific cod) is the source of this 306-nucleotide long non-coding RNA. RefSeq lists it as uncharacterized. The record is from RefSeq and is a predicted model, not a curated record. Lineage: Eukaryota; Metazoa; Chordata; Actinopteri; Gadiformes; Gadidae. The transcript is spliced from 2 exons.